RNAcentral lists this ribosomal RNA (380 nucleotides) under Pista sp. B GD-2021. RNAcentral describes it as "partial large subunit ribosomal RNA". It matches the Rfam family "Bacterial large subunit ribosomal RNA", at positions 1995 to 2568 of the family's 2925-position model. The record is from RNAcentral. Lineage: Eukaryota; Metazoa; Annelida; Polychaeta; Terebellida; Terebellidae.
AAUGGAUAAACGAGAAGCUAGCUGUCUCAAAAUUAUAUAUAAAAAUUGGCCUUUAGGUGAAGAGACCUAAAUCUUAAUAGAGGACAAGAAGACCCCGUAGAGCUUUAGUCCUAACAACCACACCUUUUACUCUGAAACAGAAUAAAUUUGUCGUAAUCUCUGGGCUUUGCUGGGGCGGCAAAGGAAGACCUAUCUUCCAUUUUAACCUUAAAGCUUUAUUCGGUUUUACACACCCAAAAUUAAAUGAUCCUAUUUUAGAACAAAGAAAAUAGCUACCUCGGGGAUAACAGAUUAAUCCUUCUUGAGAGUCCGCAUUGACAGAAGGGAUUGACACCUCGAUGUUGGCUUAGGGGACCCUGUGGGUCAGCAGCAGCCCACAA